GAGGGUGUAGCUCAGUGGUAGAGCAUAUGUUUAGCAUGCAUGAGGUCCUGGGUUUAAUCCCCAGUACCUCCA
Molecule: transfer RNA, 72 nt
Filed under: Camelus bactrianus (Bactrian camel)
Lineage: Eukaryota; Metazoa; Chordata; Mammalia; Artiodactyla; Camelidae
Also listed under: 2 other names
Rfam family: tRNA
About the family: Transfer RNA (tRNA) molecules are approximately 80 nucleotides in length. Their secondary structure includes four short double-helical elements and three loops (D, anti-codon, and T loops).
Source: Rfam by way of RNAcentral